GAGUUUGAUCGUGGCUCAGAUUGAACGCUGGCGGCAUGCCUUACACAUGCAAGUCGAACGGCAGCACGGGAGCUUGCUCCUGGUGGGCGAGUGGCGAACGGGUGAGUAAUGCAUCGGAACGUAUCCUGGAGUGGGGGAUAACGUAGCGAAAGUUACGCUAAUACCGACAUAUUCUGUGAGCAGGAAAGCGGGGGACCUUCGGGCCUCGCGCUCUUGGAGCGGCCGAUGUCGGAUUAGCUAGUUGGUGAGGUAAAGGCUCACCAAGGCGACGAUCCGUAGCAGGUCUGAGAGGAUGAUCUGCCACACUGGAACUGAGACACGGGUCCAGACUCCUACGGGAGGCAGCAGUGGGGAAUUUUGGACAAUGGGGGCAACCCUGAUCCCAGCCGAUGCCGCGUGAGUGAAGAAGGCCU
Molecule: ribosomal RNA, 413 nt
Filed under: bacterium enrichment culture clone ALO1_GLFRUDD03GVVME
Lineage: Bacteria
Description: bacterial SSU rRNA
Rfam family: Bacterial small subunit ribosomal RNA
Source: RNAcentral